This 497-nucleotide ribosomal RNA is filed under the name uncultured bacterium. Its description in RNAcentral is "partial 16S ribosomal RNA". It matches the Rfam family "Bacterial small subunit ribosomal RNA", at positions 28 to 507 of the family's 1533-position model. The record is from RNAcentral.
GAUGAACGCUGGCGGCGUGCCUAAUACAUGCAAGUCGAGCGAACAGAUAAGGAGCUUGCUCCUUUGAAGUUAGCGGCGGGCGGGUGAGUAACACGUGGGUAACCUACCUAUAAGACUGGGAUAACUUCGGGAAACCGGAGCUAAUACCGGAUAACAUUUAGAACCGCAUGGUUCUAAAGUGAAAGAUGGUUUUGCUAUCACUUAUAGAUGGACCCGCGCCGUAUUAGCUAGUUGGUAAGGUAACGGCUUACCAAGGCGACGAUACGUAGCCGACCUGAGAGGGUGAUCGGCCACACUGGAACUGAGACACGGUCCAGACUCCUACGGGAGGCAGCAGUAGGGAAUCUUCCGCAAUGGGCGAAAGCCUGACGGAGCAACGCCGCGUGAGUGAUGAAGGGUUUCGGCUCGUAAAACUCUGUUAUUAGGGAAGAACAAAUGUGUAAGUAACUGUGCACAUCUUGACGGUACCUAAUCAGAAAGCCACGGCUAACUACGUG